Molecule: long non-coding RNA, 1224 nt
Organism: Glycine soja
Lineage: Eukaryota; Viridiplantae; Streptophyta; Magnoliopsida; Fabales; Fabaceae
Exons: 3
Source: RefSeq, a predicted model, not a curated record
UGAUUUUUGGGCCAGUAGUUUUCAUAUCCGCCCUAGCCCAUUUAGUUUGUUGAGCCUGAACAUUUUUUUGUGAUUUUUUUGGGCCAGUAGUUUUCAUAUCCGCCCGUAUGUGUUCUUUAAUUUAUAUAUAUAUUCUCGCUACUACUAUCGCUGCAGAUUCAUUAUUCCAAGCAAGGCCAAUUAUUCAAGUCGAAAGUCCAGACCAUGCACAAGGAAAUUCUUCAAAGUCCCUGGCUUUGUGAGCUUAUUGCCUUACACAUUAACUUAAGGGAAACGAAAGCCAAGCCAAGGGAGGCAUCUGCACUGUUUUAUGGAUGUUAUCUCACAUUCAACGAUGGAAAACCAUCACUCACUUGACUUAAGGCAGCAAAUCCUAAAGAAAAAUGUCCUCUAUGCCGAGAGGGAAGAGUUUACGAAGAUGCUGUGCAUUUGGAAGAAUUAAAUACUCUGCUAGGCCGAAGGUAUGAUACCAAUUAUUCCAUUAGCAAGUGGGUGAGAUUAGAAUGUUAUGCCAUGUGGCCAAGGAAGAGAUGGAUGCAAAAAUUCACAUAAACUCUGCAUUUGAUCUUUUCAACAAAAUAAAGAAUAUGCUUUGCAAAUCCCUUAACCUAAUCAAUAAAUUUCAAUCUGCGGGAGUACUGGGAGCAAAGGCUUCAGAUGGAGAGGGUAGAGAGGGUUAAGCAAGUAAAGGAGCACUGGGAAACGCAGUGUAGGGCGUUCAUGGGCAUCUAAAAAUAAAUACAAACAUAUGUUCACUUUCUCUUUCAUUUCCCUAUUCAUCUCGUUUUCACACUUAUCUCAUGACGCUCUUUCUUUCGUUUCGUUUUUCUUUCAAUAUCUAUCUUUUUUCCACCUAAUACACCCAUUUGGGAUGUAAGUUUAUUGUUACCCAACAUCUAAACACACAACCAACUUCUCUUUUGGGUAUAGUAGUUUUCGGUUAAAAUGUUUUUGCUCGAUUAUUUGACCUUUUGUAUCUUUCUUAGCAUUAGCACUUCUAAGAAGUUGUUAUUGGUAGUGUUCGUACCUGAUCUUCAAUGUAAAUAAAGGCUCCUACUUUAGGAAUGAUUACUAUGGCCGUUUUGCUAUAGACUAAGACUUAAGUGUUUAUUUGAUUUUGUAUCUUAGCAAUAGGACGUCUAAGUUUGUUAUUGAUAGUGUUUUGUACUUUGUACCUAACUCUGUUCAAUGUAAAUAACGCCUUCUACUUUAGGAAUUAUUUAA